This 1878-nucleotide long non-coding RNA is filed under the name Panax ginseng (ginseng). Its description in RNAcentral is "long non-coding RNA (PGIN_LNC003450)". Lineage: Eukaryota; Viridiplantae; Streptophyta; Magnoliopsida; Apiales; Araliaceae. The record is from RNAcentral.
UGAAAUACUAUACAACAAUUAUUGUGGCAAUAAUUGAAUAAAACUGAGUGACUUCUCAUUAGACCUGGCAAACAGGCCGGGCUAGCCCAAACGGGCCAGGCCAAAAUGGCCCAAGUUUUGGUGGGAUAGAAUUAAGUGGCCCGUGGCCCGAGUUGGGCCAGGCCGGCCCAGCCCGCGGACUUUUUCUAAUUUUUUUUAAAAAAAAUUCUGUAAAUCAACCAGCUCAAACCUCAGUAUUGAUAAACAUAUAAAGAAUAAUUGGUUCAACUUAAUAUAUUCCUCACUGUAAAUGUUGAAAUAGAUAGAUUAACGAUAACACAGCUAAAGAAAAUGACACUGUUGUUUUCUCUAAAUGACAUUCCUCACUGCAUGACAUUCCUCAGUCCUCACUGCAUCUGCUCUGUAAAAUAAGCUCCAAAUACAUGCUUGCAAUCCCAUCUUCUCCGUCCAAGAAUGGCAUGACAUCCUGUGCAGAAAGAUUCAUAAAUGUGUACGCAGUAGUUGCAUUGCAUAAAUGAACAAUAGUGGCCUUCAUUGUAUACAGUAUAUUCCUUCCCAAAAAUUAGUAUAUAUUUACACAUUUUUUUCUUGAAUUCUGAUAAUGAAUACUUUACUUAGAACAAACAAAUAAAGGAAACCUUUUUUGCCAUCUUGCAGUUUACUUAGAACAACCAAAUUGGAUUUAUCUUGCAGUUUGUGACUGUACACAAGAUAACCUUUUCUUAGUACUUGAAAAAUCAAACAAAAAUCAAUGAAAUAGUUCAUAAAAAAUGAAGAAUCAAACCUUGAAGAAAAGGAUCAUUAGGGUGUUGGAAAAUGCAUGAAACAUUGUUCUGAAUCAGAAAACAAAAAAACAUCAAGAUGCCACCUGCAAACUUAAGGAAUUAGAGAGGCUAAAACUUAUGCAAGACAUGGGACACGCUGAAUAUCAUAUACAUAUAACAAUAUAUGUUCAACCCAAAUUAAAUUAAUCCCCAUAUCAUCAUUCAUUCAUACUCAACUGUCCACCCUUAAAUCUAAAAUUAGCAGAAAUUAAGUAGCAUCUAGUUCACUAUUUACUUUAAAUGAUUAAAUUGUUUUAAUUUAUAUAAAAAGUAAAAAUAUGUAUGGAACAUAAUUUCCUUAAAGUAGAUGGUAUAUAUACUUUAUAACAUAUUAUUAGGUUAAUUAAAUUCCAUUUGAACCUCUGUAGUUCAAGGGAUAACCAAACACUACCCAUACGAACAAAUUCCGGCAUUAAACAGAAACUCACAAAUGGUCAUAGAAAGAGGAAAAAAAGCUCUAAACAAAUCAUCAAUUUCGGAACUAGCAAUAGCGUACAUGAAUGUAUAUAUUUAUAUUCAGAAUGUGGUUCAGAGAAUCGUCAAAAAUGAUAUUAGAAAGGGAAAAGAAAAGAUACAAAUGGUUAGACCCAAGUUUCGAUAGUUAGUCUUUGCCCAAUUUCCUUCUCAUUCUUCUUCUUCCCCAUUUCUACGACUUUACUGUGUCCUUGGGUACUAAUUGAACAUACUCGACAAACAUGUGUUUUUGGUAUUUAUAGUCUUUUCUCGCAUAACAUAAACCGGAUUUUUCAAAAAAUUAUAGAAAUAGUACUCCCAGAUUCAAAAAAAGUAGAAAAUUACCCAGAUUCCAGAGAGAAAUUGGUCUCACAGAAUGAGGAUUUGGAUUCGGGAUGAAGAGAAGAAGCUACACAGUCGGCGUGGUCGAUCGAUCGAAAGUUUGGAUUUCCCAGCCGGCAGUCGUCGUUGUCUCGCUGUCUCAUACUCUCAUUUUCAGAUCUAGAUCUAAAAAAAGUCCCUUUUAAUUUAUUAUGCCUUAGCCAAGUCGAUUAGACCCCUUAGGGAGAUUACAUAGCCAGAUUACAGAUAAUGAUUUUUU